RNAcentral lists this transfer RNA (82 nucleotides) under Magnetospirillum moscoviense. It matches the Rfam family "tRNA". Rfam says of the family: Transfer RNA (tRNA) molecules are approximately 80 nucleotides in length. Their secondary structure includes four short double-helical elements and three loops (D, anti-codon, and T loops). Further hydrogen bonds mediate the characteristic L-shaped molecular structure. tRNAs have two regions of fundamental functional importance: the anti-codon, which is responsible for specific mRNA codon recognition, and the 3' end, to which the tRNAs corresponding amino acid is attached (by aminoacyl-tRNA synthetases). tRNAs cope with the degeneracy of the genetic code in two manners: having more than one tRNA (with a specific anti-codon) for a particular amino acid; and 'wobble' base-pairing, i.e. permitting non-standard base-pairing at the 3rd anti-codon position. The record is from Rfam by way of RNAcentral. Lineage: Bacteria; Pseudomonadati; Pseudomonadota; Alphaproteobacteria; Rhodospirillales; Rhodospirillaceae.
GCGGGCGUGGCGGAACUGGUAGACGCACUGGAUUUAGGUUCCAGCGGCUUAGGCCAUGGGGGUUCAAGUCCCUUCGCCCGCA